GACGAACGCUGGCGGCGUGCUUAACACAUGCAAGUCGAACGGAAAGGCCCUGCUUUUGUGGGGUGCUCGAGUGGCGAACGGGUGAGUAACACGUGAGUAACCUGCCCUUGACUUUGGGAUAACUUCAGGAAACUGGGGCUAAUACCGGAUAGGAGCUCCUGCUGCAUGGUGGGGGUUGGAAAGUUUCGGCGGUUGGGGAUGGACUCGCGGCUUAUCAGCUUGUUGGUGGGGUAGUGGCUUACCAAGGCUUUGACGGGUAGCCGGCCUGAGAGGGUGACCGGCCACAUUGGGACUGAGAUACGGCCCAGACUCCAACGGGAGGCAGCGGUGGGGAAUAUUGCACAAUGGGCGGAAGCCUGAUGCAGCAACGCCGCGUGCGGGAUGACGUCCUUCGGGUUGUAAACCGCUUUCGCCUGUGACGAAGCGUGAGUGACGGUAAUGGGUAAAGAAGCACCGGCUAACUACGUG
RNAcentral lists this ribosomal RNA (468 nucleotides) under uncultured bacterium. RNAcentral describes it as "partial 16S ribosomal RNA". It matches the Rfam family "Bacterial small subunit ribosomal RNA", at positions 28 to 507 of the family's 1533-position model. The record is from RNAcentral.